GACGUAGGAGGCGAGCGUUGUCCGGAUUCAUUGGGCGUAAAGAGCACGCAGGCGGUUUGGCAAGUCGGAUGUGAAAAUCCGGGGCUCAACCCCGGACCUGCAUCCGAAACUGCCCGACUAGAGGUAGGUAGGGGAGAUCGGAAUUCCUGGUGUAGCGGUGAAAUGCGCAGAUAUCAGGAGGAACACCGGUGGCGAAGGCGGAUCUCUGGGCCUUACCUGACGCUCAGGUGCGAAAGCUAGGGGAGCAAACAGG
Molecule: ribosomal RNA, 253 nt
Filed under: uncultured bacterium
Lineage: Bacteria
Description: partial 16S ribosomal RNA
Rfam family: Bacterial small subunit ribosomal RNA
Source: RNAcentral